Molecule: long non-coding RNA, 512 nt
Organism: Eptesicus fuscus (big brown bat)
Lineage: Eukaryota; Metazoa; Chordata; Mammalia; Chiroptera; Vespertilionidae
Exons: 3
Source: RefSeq, a predicted model, not a curated record
GAUAGGCUCAGCGUGAGAGCGGCAUUGUUCCUGGGACCAUCCUGAGUAGGUUGCUGGGUGAAGGGUUGCUUAGGAGUCCAGACUGAAGAGGCAGCCUUGGCAAGAACAGGGAGGCAUUAAAGGCUGAAGACACUUGGCAAACUGCUGUACGACCCUGAACAAGUCCCCUUAUCAGCAGUAGUUUCCUCAUCUAUAAAAUGGGACGGCACCUAUCUCAUCAGGUUGUUUAUGACGACUGAAAGAAAAAAGCAUGGCUCCUACCUCAUGGCUAACAAGCCAUGGCUAGCCACUCCUCACUCGUUUACACUCAACAUGACUGACGGAAUCCAGAAGAGAAAGGAAUUUGGGAGGAAGUAUGGUGCAGUGGUGAGUGCCUCGGGCUUCCAACCCCAGCUCCUGGCCCAAAUCUGUGACCUCACACCAGUCACUCUCCUUAUCAGGCCAGUUUCCUCCUCUAUUUUAAGCCUAGCAUGGCUCUACUUUUACAAAUAAAAUAUAUAUUAUAACUUGUA